CAAAGUUAAACAGAGGCACCUCCCACCCCUGAGAACUUUGGCCCCAGCCCUGAGAUCAGCUCAGUCAGAAGACGACCGAGGGAAAGGGCACAGGAAAGCAGCUGGGUCAUGAGGUUGGGGCCAACACGACAGCGGACAUAGCCUGCUCCUGCCUUGUGAGCUGGGUGAGCGGAAGCCAGUCACUGAGAACGAACAUGAAUGGCACAGCAAGUGGUCAGUAGUGCGUUUUAACAGGCACUGUCGCGGAACGCCGGCGAGGAUAUGCAGUUCGGGGAAAGACAGGAAAGGCGAGGAACGGAAAGAAACCUCCGCAUAUCUCGAUCCCUCGGUGAUAAGGAAAAGCCCUGGCUGUAAAUGUCUGUAAAUAGAUCACGGGUGACGCGGACCGGCAAUACUAUUCUCCGGAGCCCUCUGCGACAGGCUCCUGCUGCAAGACCUGCCGGGAGUUGUAGUCCGUUGGGUCAAGACCACUCAUGGGAACGCGUGGGGCUGGAAGGGGCGGGGUGUGUGUGGCGGGACGCGCUCCCGGCGUGGCGGAGCUCAAAAGAGCAGAAAUAAAUGCAACGAUGCCUUCUUC
This is a long non-coding RNA of Suricata suricatta (meerkat), 577 nucleotides long. RefSeq lists it as uncharacterized. The record is from RefSeq and is a predicted model, not a curated record. The transcript is spliced from 4 exons. Lineage: Eukaryota; Metazoa; Chordata; Mammalia; Carnivora; Herpestidae.